This 253-nucleotide ribosomal RNA is filed under the name uncultured prokaryote. RNAcentral's name for it is "partial 16S ribosomal RNA". It matches the Rfam family "Bacterial small subunit ribosomal RNA", at positions 524 to 776 of the family's 1533-position model. The record is from RNAcentral.
UACGAGUGCCCCAAGCGUUAUCCGGAAUCAUUGGGCGUAAAGGGUGUGUAGGUGGUCGUGUUAGUCUUGUGUUAAAUCCUUUGGCUUAACCAAAGGCAUGCAUAGGAAACGGCACGACUUGAAGAUGCGAGGGGUGAAUGGAACUCAUAGUGGAGGGGUGAAAUCCGUUGAUAUUAUGGGGAACACCAAAAGCGAAGGCAAUUCACUGGCGCAUUCUUGACACUGAAACACGAAAGCGUGGGUAGCGAAUGGG